AUUGAACGCUGGCGGCAUGCCUUACACAUGCAAGUCGAACGGUAACGGGCCUUCGGGUGCCGACGAGUGGCGAACGGGUGAGUAAUACAUCGGAACGUGCCCGAUCGUGGGGGAUAACGAGGCGAAAGCUUUGCUAAUACCGCAUACGAUCUACGGAUGAAAGCAGGGGACCGCAAGCCCUUGCGCGGACGGAGCGGCCGAUGGCAGAUUAGGUAGUUGGUGGGAUAAAAGCUUACCAAGCCGACGAUCUGUAGCUGGUCUGAGAGGAUGAUCAGCCACACUGGGACUGAGACACGGCCCAGACUCCUACGGGAGGCAGCAGUGGGGAAUUUUGGACAAUGGGCGCAAGCCUGAUCCAGCCAUGCCGCGUGCAGGAUGAAGGCCUUCGGGUUGUAAACUGCUUUUGUACGGAACGAAAAGCCUUCUUUUAAUACAGGAGGGUCAUGACGGUACCGUAAGAAUAAGCACCGGCUAACUACGUG
Molecule: ribosomal RNA, 482 nt
Filed under: uncultured bacterium
Lineage: Bacteria
Description: partial 16S ribosomal RNA
Rfam family: Bacterial small subunit ribosomal RNA
Source: RNAcentral